RNAcentral lists this ribosomal RNA (448 nucleotides) under uncultured bacterium. RNAcentral describes it as "bacterial SSU rRNA". It matches the Rfam family "Bacterial small subunit ribosomal RNA", at positions 355 to 825 of the family's 1533-position model. The record is from RNAcentral.
UCGGGAAUCUUGCGCAAUGGGCGAAAGCCUGACGCAGCCAUGCCGCGUGAAUGAUGAAGGUCUUAGGAUUGUAAAGUUCUUUCGCUCGUGACGAUGAUGACGGUAACGAGAGAAGAAGCCCCGGCUAACUUCGUGCCAGCAGCCGCGGUAAUACGAAGGGGGCUAGCGUUGUUCGGAAUUACUGGGCGUAAAGCGCGCGUAGGCGGUUUUGCAAGCCAGAGGUGAAAUGCCCGAGCUUAACUUGGGAAUUGCCUUUGGGACUGCGAGGCUUUGAGGACGAGAGAGGUGAGUGGAAUUCCCAGUGUAGAGGUGAAAUUCGUAGAUAUUGGGAAGAACACCGGUGGCGAAGGCGGCCCACUGGCUCGGUACUGACACUGAGGUGCGAAAGCGUGGGGAGCAAACAGGAUUAGAUACCCUUGUAGUCCCUGAGCGGGCUGGCAAGGCGCAU